Molecule: ribosomal RNA, 662 nt
Filed under: uncultured soil bacterium
Lineage: Bacteria
Description: bacterial SSU rRNA
Rfam family: Bacterial small subunit ribosomal RNA
Source: RNAcentral
AACGCUGGCGGCGUGCUUAACACAUGCAAGUCGAGCGAGAAAGCUCCUUCGGGAGUGAGUACAGCGGCGAACGGGUGAGUAACACGUGGGCAACCUGCCCUAGGGAGCGGGACAACCCGAGGAAACUCGGGCUAAUACCGCAUGAUUCGUCGUGCCUCAAGGCGCGACGGGAAAUGGUAGCUUCGGCCUCCGCCCUGGGAUGGGCCCGCGGCGCAUUAGCUUGUUGGUGAGGUAAUGGCUCACCAAGGCGACGAUGCGUAGCUGGUCUGAGAGGACGAUCAGCCACACUGGGACUGAGACACGGCCCAGACUCCUACGGGAGGCAGCAGUGGGGAAUCUUGCGCAAUGGGCGGAAGCCUGACGCAGCAACGCCGCGUGAGGGAAGACGGCCUUCGGGUUGUAAACCUCUUUCAGGGGGGACGAAGCUUCCGGGGUUAAUAGCCCACGGGGUGACGGUACCCCCAGAAGAAGCCCCGGCUAACUACGUGCCAGCAGCCGCGGUAAUACGUAGGGGGCGAGCGUUGUCCGGAAUCAUUGGGCGUAAAGCGCGUGUAGGCGGCUUGGUAAGUCUGGUGUGAAACCUUGGGGCUCAACCCCAAGCCUGCAUUGGAUACUGCCUCGCUUGAGUCCGGGAGGGGAGAGCGGAAUUCCUAGUGUAGCGG